GGAUUUCCGGCGUGAGGGAUCAGUCUGACUUCUAGUCAGUACUUGGUCCUCUCAUGCCGUCCUUGAAUGGUGCAUCCUGGCAUUAAGUUGUCGGGGUGAGAGCCGUUCAUCGUUUACUGUGAGAAAAUUAGAGUGUUCAAAGCAGGCUUAUGCCGUUGAAUAUAUUAGCAUGGAAUAAUAAGAUAGGACUUUGGUACUAUUUUGUUGGUUUGAGAACCAAGGUAAUGAUCAAUAGGGACAGUUGGGGGUAUUCGUAUUCAGUUGUCAGAGGUGAAAUUCUUAGAUUUCCGGAAGACGAACUACUGCGAAAGCAUUUACCAAGGAUGUUUUCAUUAAUCAAGAACGAAAGUAUGGGGAUCGAAGAUGAUUAGAUACCAUCGUAGUCUAUACCAUAAACUAUGCCGACUCAGGAUGGGCGGGUGCAUUUUUGCC
RNAcentral lists this ribosomal RNA (432 nucleotides) under Chaetoceros sp. RCC5490. RNAcentral's name for it is "SSU rRNA". It matches the Rfam family "Eukaryotic small subunit ribosomal RNA", at positions 636 to 1076 of the family's 1831-position model. Lineage: Eukaryota; Bacillariophyta; Thalassiosirophyceae; Chaetocerotales; Chaetocerotaceae. The record is from RNAcentral.